RNAcentral lists this ribosomal RNA (377 nucleotides) under uncultured organism. RNAcentral's name for it is "partial 16S ribosomal RNA". It matches the Rfam family "Bacterial small subunit ribosomal RNA", at positions 527 to 896 of the family's 1533-position model. The record is from RNAcentral.
GUAGGGGCCAAGCGUUAUCCGGAUUUAUUGGGGCGUAAAGAGCUCGUAGGCGGCUUGGCAAGUCGGUCGUGAAAGUCCGAGGCUCAACCUCGGGAAUGCCGGGUCGAAACUGCCAUGGCUAGGGUUCGGUAGAGGAGAGUGGAAUUCUCGGUGUAGCGGUGAAAUGCGCAGAUAUCGAGAGGAACACCAGUAGCGAAGGCGGCUCUCUGGGCCGAUACCGACGCUGAGGAGCGAAAGCGUGGGGAGCAAACAGGAUUAGAUACCCUGGUAGUCCACGCCGUAAACGGUGAUCACUAGGUGUGGUGGACUCAUUGACGUCUGCUGUGCCGGCGCUAACGCAUUAAGUGAUCCGCCUGGGGAGUACGGCCGCAAGGCUA